RNAcentral lists this long non-coding RNA (433 nucleotides) under Chinchilla lanigera (long-tailed chinchilla). RNAcentral describes it as "lncRNA (ENSCLAG00000027154.1)". The record is from RNAcentral. Lineage: Eukaryota; Metazoa; Chordata; Mammalia; Rodentia; Chinchillidae.
UUCCAGAGCAGGUCUCCUAUCAGAGCUGUCACUGAAGUGCACUUGGAGCCGAUCUCGCUGUUCCUCGAAUUUGGGAAGUUGGGAGUCCUUCAAUAGUGCCUGUGCUUAGAAGCGAAGAAGGGAAUAUUGUCAUCGAAGAACUCAGAGUUUUCAAGGCCUGUCUCCACAGUCAUUCACACCGUGUAGCAGAGGGGUGAACGCCCACCAGCAGCUGAGAGCAAUUACGUUCCUAAGUAGAAAUGAUCGGGAGAGAGGAGAGAGCUACCAGCCGGCUGUGUUAGAGAUACCGUGAAAAAGAAAGACGCUUUCUGUGACUCCCAUAUGCAGCUUGCCCGUACUUCCUACCUUCCCAGCCGACUCCAAAACAUUAAGAAAAAUGGGGGAUUUUAAAAAUCAAAUGAUAUUUUAGAAUUUAUUUGCUAGAGACUCUGAG